This 301-nucleotide ribosomal RNA is filed under the name uncultured bacterium. RNAcentral describes it as "partial 16S ribosomal RNA". It matches the Rfam family "Bacterial small subunit ribosomal RNA", at positions 509 to 807 of the family's 1533-position model. The record is from RNAcentral.
CAGUCGCCGCGGGAACACAGAGGGUGCGAGCGUUAAUCGGAUUUACUGGGCGUAAAGCGUGCGUAGGCGGCUUCUUAAGUCGGAUGUGAAAUCCCUGAGCUUAACUUAGGAAUUGCAUUCGAUACUGGGAAGCUAGAGUAUGGGAGAGGAUGGUAGAAUUCCAGGUGUAGCGGUGAAAUGCGUAGAGAUCUGGAGGAAUACCGAUGGCGAAGGCAGCCAUCUGGCCUAAUACUGACGCUGAGGUACGAAAGCAUGGGGAGCAAACAGGAUUAGAUACCCCCGUAGUCCCUGUCUCUUAUAC